UCUAAUAUUUCAGACGAUGUUACUUUCGAGCGAGUCAUUUUUCUUGAACAACUGAUAACUCAGCAGCUACCUGAGAAAGAAGCGAGGAUGGACAUCUUGGCCUUCGCUGCAUUGCUGAAAAUAUGUACUCUUUAUCAGUCACAAGUCAUAAGGAUGGGUCACGUCAUCAAGUAAACUGAAAGGGUUUCACCUCUGCUCGGAAAAUGUCCAUGGCAAAACCAUUGAAGCAGCUAAUCACAGCUUGCUGGAUGUCUAAGCCAAGAUUAUCUAAUGCCCUAACUGAGGAGAGCAAGAGACCAGGUCGACGACCACAGAACAUGUGUAUGUUUACUGCCCGACCUUCUCGUACCCUAACUUCGACCUUAUUAACACAGUAGUAUCAUCAAUAAUUUCUUCAGAUGACAGGGUUGUAGCAAAUAAUAUAAUUGCAAAUGCAAUAAUCAUGUGAUGGACAAAGGAAAGUUGUCCCAAGAU
This is a long non-coding RNA of Cucurbita moschata (crookneck pumpkin), 474 nucleotides long. RefSeq lists it as uncharacterized. NCBI's taxonomy places the organism in Eukaryota, Viridiplantae, Streptophyta, Magnoliopsida, Cucurbitales, Cucurbitaceae. The record is from RefSeq and is a predicted model, not a curated record. The transcript is spliced from 3 exons.